GUGAGCGGUGGCUUGGCAUGGUGUGCGGUUGCUAUACCUGCAGAGACGUAUCUGUCCCUCCUCCUCUCAAUCCUUCGAACAUUUACAAAAUCCCUGGCGGACAAGAAUAAAGGACAAAGAAUAUUCACAUGCAGAAAACGGGACAGAUAAAGUAGUAAAGAGGGAAAAAGAGAGACUCACCUUGGUGACACCACACCGCCUGCUGCCGCAGCAGACACAUCAUACGAUACCAAAGUGUUAUCGUCCACCCGCUGCAGGAUCUAAGCAUAUCUGACCUGGCAAUUUGCCACCGUCCUGUUCCACAAGACCAUCUUUUCGGGUUGAAGAAUUACUUCCUGGUAAACCGUCUCGGCCGGGCACUGCAUGAGAGCCUGUGGGUAGGCACAGCCAGGUUAACACAGAAGGAUCGCCGAUAAUUAUACGAGUACUCAGUAUGUAAUAUGUGUACUUGGAUAAGUUAAUAAAGUUUUGAAAUAAAAUAAAAAAAAUUG
Spea bombifrons (plains spadefoot toad) is the source of this 491-nucleotide long non-coding RNA. RefSeq lists it as uncharacterized. The transcript has 2 exons. NCBI's taxonomy places the organism in Eukaryota, Metazoa, Chordata, Amphibia, Anura, Pelobatidae. The record is from RefSeq and is a predicted model, not a curated record.